This 1372-nucleotide ribosomal RNA is filed under the name uncultured bacterium. RNAcentral describes it as "bacterial SSU rRNA". It matches the Rfam family "Bacterial small subunit ribosomal RNA", at positions 28 to 1381 of the family's 1533-position model. The record is from RNAcentral.
GAUGAACGCUGGCGGCGUGCCUAAUACAUGCAAGUCGAGCGAACGGACGAGAAGCUUGCUUCUCUGAUGUUAGCGGCGGACGGGUGAGUAACACGUGGAUAACCUACCUAUAAGACUGGGAUAACUUCGGGAAACCGGAGCUAAUACCGGAUGAUAUUUUGAACCGCAUGGUUCAAAAGUGAAAGACGGUCUUGCUGUCACUUAUAGAUGGAUCCGCGCUGCAUUAGCUAGUUGGUAAGGUAACGGCUUACCAAGGCAACGAUGCAUAGCCGACCUGAGAGGGUGAUCGGCCACACUGGAACUGAGACACGGUCCAGACUCCUACGGGAGGCAGCAGUAGGGAAUCUUCCGCAAUGGGCGAAAGCCUGACGGAGCAACGCCGCGUGAGUGAUGAAGGUCUUCGGAUCGUAAAACUCUGUUAUUAGGGAAGAACAUAUGUGUAAGUAACUGUGCACAUCUUGACGGUACCUAAUCAGAAAGCCACGGCUAACUACGUGCCAGCAGCCGCGGUAAUACGUAGGUGGCAAGCGUUAUCCGGAAUUAUUGGGCGUAAAGCGCGCGUAGGCGGUUUUUUAAGUCUGAUGUGAAAGCCCACGGCUCAACCGUGGAGGGUCAUUGGAAACUGGAAAACUUGAGUGCAGAAGAGGAAAGUGGAAUUCCAUGUGUAGCGGUGAAAUGCGCAGAGAUAUGGAGGAACACCAGUGGCGAAGGCGACUUUCUGGUCUGUAACUGACGCUGAUGUGCGAAAGCGUGGGGAUCAAACAGGAUUAGAUACCCUGGUAGUCCACGCCGUAAACGAUGAGUGCUAAGUGUUAGGGGGUUUCCGCCCCUUAGUGCUGCAGCUAACGCAUUAAGCACUCCGCCUGGGGAGUACGACCGCAAGGUUGAAACUCAAAGGAAUUGACGGGGACCCGCACAAGCGGUGGAGCAUGUGGUUUAAUCCGAAGCAACGCGAAGAACCUUACCAAAUCUUGACAUCCUUUGACAACUCUAGAGAUAGAGCCUUCCCCUUCGGGGGACAAAGUGACAGGUGGUGCAUGGUUGUCGUCAGCUCGUGUCGUGAGAUGUUGGGUUAAGUCCCGCAACGAGCGCAACCCUUAAGCUUAGUUGCCAUCAUUAAGUUGGGCACUCUAAGUUGACUGCCGGUGACAAACCGGAGGAAGGUGGGGAUGACGUCAAAUCAUCAUGCCCCUUAUGAUUUGGGCUACACACGUGCUACAAUGGACAAUACAAAGGGCAGCGAAACCGCGAGGUCAAGCAAAUCCCAUAAAGUUGUUCUCAGUUCGGAUUGUAGUCUGCAACUCGACUACAUGAAGCUGGAAUCGCUAGUAAUCGUAGAUCAGCAUGCUACGGUGAAUACGUUCCCGGGUCU